RNAcentral lists this ribosomal RNA (301 nucleotides) under uncultured bacterium. RNAcentral's name for it is "partial 16S ribosomal RNA". It matches the Rfam family "Bacterial small subunit ribosomal RNA", at positions 509 to 807 of the family's 1533-position model. The record is from RNAcentral.
CAGUCGCCACGGGAAUACGUAGGGUGCAAGCGUUAAUCGGAAUUACUGGGCGUAAAGCGUGCGCAGGCGGUUAUAUAAGUCAGAUGUGAAAUCCCCGGGCUCGACCUGGGAACUGCAUUUGAGACUGUAUGGCUAGAGUGUGUCAGAGGGGGGUAGAAUUCCACGUGUAGCAGUGAAAUGCGUAGAUAUGUGGAGGAAUACCGAUGGCGAAGGCAGCCCCCUGGGAUAACACUGACGCUCAUGCACGAAAGCGUGGGGAGCAAACAGGAUUAGAUACCCCCGUAGUCCCUGUCUCUUAUAC